AUCGCUUCUCGAGCUUUUGGCUCGGAUCAAAAAGUGUAGUAUCUGUUCUUACAAGCGUAAUUUCUUGUACGCUACCCACGUGGUAGCACAGAAGUUAUCCCUAUUUUUGGAGUUUGGUGAUUGUUACUUGCUUGCAGGUUCUUCACCACGGGUUGUCAUGUCCUUGCACUAUUGACGUGUACAGCCCAUUUAUU
Small nuclear RNA from Intoshia linei, 194 nucleotides. It matches the Rfam family "U2 spliceosomal RNA". From Rfam's summary of the family: U2 is a small nuclear RNA (snRNA) component of the spliceosome (involved in pre-mRNA splicing). Complementary binding between U2 snRNA (in an area lying towards the 5' end but 3' to hairpin I) and the branchpoint sequence (BPS) of the intron results the bulging out of an unpaired adenosine, on the BPS, which initiates a nucleophilic attack at the intronic 5' splice site, thus starting the first of two transesterification reactions that mediate splicing. Lineage: Eukaryota; Metazoa; Orthonectida; Rhopaluridae. The record is from Rfam.